UGUCCUACGGGAGGCAGCAGUGGGGAAUUGUUCGCAAUGGGCGCAAGCCUGACGACGCAACGCCGCGUGGAGGAUGAAGGUCUUCGGAUUGUAAACUCCUGUUGAUCGGGACGAAAAGCUUCGACCUAACACGUCGGAGACUGACGGUACCGGUUGAGGAAGCCACGGCUAACUCUGUGCCAGCAGCCGCGGUAAUACAGAGGUGGCAAGCGUUGUUCGGAAUUACUGGGCGUAAAGGGCGCGUAGGCGGCCUUCUAAGUCGGACGUGAAAGCCCCAGGCUUAACCUGGGAACUGCGUCCGAUACUGGAAGGCUUGGAUUCGGGAGAGGGAUGUGGAAUUCCAGGUGUAGCGGUGAAAUGCGUAGAUAUCUGGAGGAACACCGGUGGCGAAGGCGGCAUCCUGGACCGACAUCGACGCUGAGGCGCGAAAGCUAGGGGAGCAAACGGGAUUAGAUACCCCGGUAGUCA
This 468-nucleotide ribosomal RNA is filed under the name uncultured Acidobacteriota bacterium. RNAcentral describes it as "bacterial SSU rRNA". It matches the Rfam family "Bacterial small subunit ribosomal RNA", at positions 335 to 796 of the family's 1533-position model. Lineage: Bacteria; Pseudomonadati; Acidobacteriota. The record is from RNAcentral.